AAACAAUAUUUUAACAAGUAUAGCCGCGCGGCUGUACGUUUUGAAUAAAAAAUAUAUUUAAAGCGUAUAGCCGCGCGGCUGUACGCCUUGAAUAAAAAAUA
Molecule: microRNA precursor, 101 nt
Filed under: Prunus dulcis (almond)
Lineage: Eukaryota; Viridiplantae; Streptophyta; Magnoliopsida; Rosales; Rosaceae
Description: sRNA ncRNA
Source: RNAcentral